UACGGAGGGUGCAAGCGUUAAUCGGAAUUACUGGGCGUAAAGCGCACGCAGGCGGUUGAUUGCGUCAGAUUUGAAAUCCCCGGGCUCAACCUGGGAAUUGCAUCUGAUACUGGUCAGCUUGAGUCUUGUAGAGGGGGGUAGAAUUCCAGGGGUAGCGGUGAAAUGCGUAGAGAUGUGGAGGAAUACCGGUGGCGAAGGCGGCCCCCUGGACGAAGACUGACGCUCAGGUGCGAAAGCGUGGGGAGCAAACAGG
This 253-nucleotide ribosomal RNA is filed under the name uncultured bacterium. RNAcentral's name for it is "partial 16S ribosomal RNA". It matches the Rfam family "Bacterial small subunit ribosomal RNA", at positions 524 to 776 of the family's 1533-position model. The record is from RNAcentral.